This 344-nucleotide unclassified non-coding RNA is filed under the name soil metagenome. RNAcentral's name for it is "partial contains 5.8S ribosomal RNA, internal transcribed spacer 2, and large subunit ribosomal RNA". The stretch from base 1 to 120 matches the Rfam family "5.8S ribosomal RNA", at positions 35 to 154 of the family's 154-position model. The record is from RNAcentral.
GAUGAAGAACGUAGCGAAAUGCGAUAAGUAAUGUGAAUUGCAGAAUUCCGUGAAUCAUCGAAUCUUUGAACGCAUAUUGCGCCCUCUGGCAUUCCGGGGGGCAUGCCUGUCCGAGCGUCAUUGCUGCCCUCAAGCACGGCUUGUGUGUUGGGCCUCCGUCCUCCUCCCGGGGGACGGGCCCGAAAGGCAGCGGCGGCACCGCGUCCGGUCCUCGAGCGUAUGGGGCUUUGUCACCCGCUCUGUAGGCCCGGCCGGCGCUUGCCGAUCAACCAAAUUUUUAUCCAGGUUGACCUCGGAUCAGGUAGGGAUACCCGCUGAACUUAAGCAUAUCAAUAAGCGGAGGA